Molecule: ribosomal RNA, 253 nt
Filed under: uncultured bacterium
Lineage: Bacteria
Description: partial 16S ribosomal RNA
Rfam family: Bacterial small subunit ribosomal RNA
Source: RNAcentral
UACGUAGGGGGCAAGCGUUGUCCGGAUUUAUUGGGCGUAAAGAGCGUGUAGGCGGCCGUACAGGUCAGCUGUGAAAACUCGAGGCUCAACCUCGAGACGUCGGUUGAAACCGUACGGCUAGAGUCCGGAAGAGGAGAGUGGAAUUCCCGGUGUAGCGGUGAAAUGCGCAGAUAUCGGGAAGAACACCCGUGGCGAAGGCGGCUCUCUGGUACGUGACUGACGCUGAGACGCGAAAGCGUGGGGAGCGAACAGG